CGGCCUACUAAUCCCGCCAUUAAAUCACAUCGGAGAAUUCAGGGCAUUACAGUUACCGCUAAGGCUCGGGGCAGGAUCCUGCUCGAGGGUCGCUGGUGCUUGGACCAGAGGUAAGGGGAAAGGGAAGCUGGACCAGUCAUGAGUUGAAGAGCUUCUGUGGCGAUGUGUACAUAUGCAGCUGCUCAAUCACCACGACCGGGGUUUCUCAGAGGAACUAGGGUCAAACCCUAUUUUGCCGGUUAGGUCGGCUGUUUGUAACUUUUGAGUUGUACUUACCCUUUUGGAAUUGUAAACAACUUUGUAAAUAUUUAUUUUGGGAUCCCAUGUACGAACUUAACGUUUUAAUAAAAUGACUAUUCCCUUCA
Humulus lupulus (European hop) is the source of this 365-nucleotide long non-coding RNA. RefSeq lists it as uncharacterized. The transcript is spliced from 2 exons. Lineage: Eukaryota; Viridiplantae; Streptophyta; Magnoliopsida; Rosales; Cannabaceae. The record is from RefSeq and is a predicted model, not a curated record.